Molecule: ribosomal RNA, 467 nt
Filed under: uncultured bacterium
Lineage: Bacteria
Description: partial 16S ribosomal RNA
Rfam family: Bacterial small subunit ribosomal RNA
Source: RNAcentral
GACGAACGCUGGCGGCGUGCUUAACACAUGCAAGUCGAACGGAAAGGCCUCUUUCGGGGGGUACUCGAGUGGCGAACGGGUGAGUAACACGUGAGUAACCUGCCCUUGACUUUGGGAUAACUUCAGGAAACUGGGGCUAAUACCGGAUAGGAGCUCCUUCUGCAUGGUGGGGGUUGGAAAGUUUCGGCGGUUGGGGAUGGACUCGCGGCUUAUCAGCUUGUUGGUGGGGUAGUGGCUUACCAAGGCUUUGACGGGUAGCCGGCCUGAGAGGGUGACCGGCCACAUUGGGACUGAGAUACGGCCCAGACUCCUACGGGAGGCAGCAGGGGGGAAUAUUGCACAAGGGGUGGAAGCCUGAUGCAGCAACGCCGUGGGCGGGAUGACGGCCUUCGGGUUGGAAACCGCUUUCGCUCAUGACGAAGCUUUGUGUGACGGUAGUGGGUAAAGAAGCACCGGCUAACUACGUG